UCUUUCGGGAAUUUGAGAGCGGCGUACGGGUGGGAACACGUGUGCAACCUGCCUUUAUCUGGGGGAUAGCCUUUCGAAAGGAAGAUUAAUACCCCAUAAUAUAUUGAGUGGCAUCACUUAAUAUUGAAAACUCCGGUGGAUAGAGAUGGGCACGCGCAAGAUUAGAUAGUUGGUGGGGUAACGGCCUACCAAGUCAGUGAUCUUUAGGGGGCCUGAGAGGGUGAUCCCCCACACUGGUACUGAGACACGGACCAGACUCCUACGGGAGGCAGCAGUGAGGAAUAUUGGACAAUGGGUGAGAGCCUGAUCCAGCCAUCCCGCGUGAAGGACGACGGCCCUAUGGGUUGUAAACUUCUUUUGUAUAGGGAUAAACCUAGAUACGUGUAUCUAGCUGAAGGUACUAUACGAAUAAGCACCGGCUAACUCCGUGCCAGCAGCCGCGGUAAUACGGAGGGUGCAAGCGUUAUCCGGAUUUAUUGGGUUUAAAGGGUCCGUAGGCGGAUCAGUAAGUCAGUGGUGAAAUCUCAUAGCUUAACUAUGAAACUGCCAUUGAUACUGCUGGUCUUGAGUAAGGUAGAAGUAGCUGGAAUAAGUAGUGUAGCGGUGAAAUGCAUAGAUAUUACUUAGAACACCAAUUGCGAAGGCAGGUUACUAUGUCUUAACUGACGCUGAUGGACGAAAGCGUGGGGAGCGAACAGGAUUAGAUACCCUGGUAGUCCACGCUGUAAACGAUGCUAACUCGUUUUUGGGUUUUCGGAUUCAGAGACUAAGCGAAAGUGAUAAGUUAGCCACCUGGGGAGUACGAACGCAAGUUUGAAACUCAAAGGAAUUGACGGGGGCCCGCACAAGCGGUGGAUUAUGUGGUUUAAUUCGAUGAUACGCGAGGAACCUUACCAAGGCUUAAAUGGGAAUUGAUCGGUUUAGAAAUAGACCUUCCUUCGGGCAAUUUUCAAGGUGCUGCAUGGUUGUCGUCAGCUCGUGCCGUGAGGUGUUAGGUUAAGUCCUGCAACGAGCGCAACCCCUGUCACUAGUUGCUACCAUUAAGUUGAGGACUCUAGUGAGACUGCCUACGCAAGUAGAGAGGAAGGUGGGGAUGACGUCAAAUCAUCACGGCCCUUACGCCUUGGGCCACACACGUAAUACAAUGGCCGGUACAGAGGGCAGCUACACAGCGAUGUGAUGCAAAUCUCGAAAGCCGGUCUCAGUUCGGAUUGGAGUCUGCAACUCGACUCUAUGAAGCUGGAAUCGCUAGUAAUCGCGCAUCAGCCAUGGCGCGGUGAAUACGUUCCCGGGCCUUGUACACCCCCCCCGUCAAGCCAUGGAAGUCUGGGGUACCUGAAGUCGGUGACCGUAAAAGGA
RNAcentral lists this ribosomal RNA (1359 nucleotides) under Chryseobacterium daecheongense. RNAcentral describes it as "bacterial SSU rRNA". It matches the Rfam family "Bacterial small subunit ribosomal RNA", at positions 76 to 1447 of the family's 1533-position model. The record is from RNAcentral. Lineage: Bacteria; Pseudomonadati; Bacteroidota; Flavobacteriia; Flavobacteriales; Weeksellaceae.